RNAcentral lists this ribosomal RNA (505 nucleotides) under uncultured bacterium. RNAcentral's name for it is "partial 16S ribosomal RNA". It matches the Rfam family "Bacterial small subunit ribosomal RNA", at positions 28 to 507 of the family's 1533-position model. The record is from RNAcentral.
GACGAACGCUGGCGGCGUGCCUAAUACAUGCCAGUAGAACGCACAGUUUAUACCGUAGCUUGCUACACCAUAGACUGUGAGUUGCGAACGGGUGAGUAACGCGUAGGUAACCUGCCUGGUAGCGGGGGAUAACUAUUGGAAACGAUAGCUAAUACCGCAUAAUAUUGAUUAUUGCAUGAUAAUUAAUUGAAAGGUGCAAUUGCACCACUACCAGAUGGACCUGCGUUGUAUUAGCUAGUAGGUGAGGUAACGGCUCACCUAGGCGACGAUACAUAGCCGACCUGAGAGGGUGAUCGGCCACACUGGGACUGAGACACGGCCCAGACUCCUACGGGAGGCAGCAGUAGGGAAUCUUCGGCAAUGGACGAAAGUCUGACCGAGCAACGCCGCGUGAGUGAAGAAGGGUUUCGGAUCGUAAAGCUCUGUUGUAAGAGAAGAACGGGUGUGAGAGUGGAAAGUUCACACUGUGACGGUAUCUUACCAGAAAGGGACGGCUAACUACGUG